AAUUAACAAAAUUAGUUGUUGUAUCAUAAAUAACAUUACACACUUUUCUAUGCACAUUAUAAUUUAUACACUAUAAUAUCUUUCACUAAAAAUGUAUUCCAAUACAUUUCUUAAAUAUGAAAUCCCUUACGUAUGCGCGGAUCAGAAUCUAGUUAAUUCUUAAAAAAGUUACCAUUUUCUAAUAAAAAAUAAUGAAAAAC
This 200-nucleotide small RNA is filed under the name Arabidopsis thaliana (thale cress). RNAcentral's name for it is "ATSL087630". Lineage: Eukaryota; Viridiplantae; Streptophyta; Magnoliopsida; Brassicales; Brassicaceae. The record is from RNAcentral.